Molecule: non-coding RNA, 172 nt
Organism: Alicyclobacillus acidocaldarius LAA1
Lineage: Bacteria; Bacillati; Bacillota; Bacilli; Caryophanales; Alicyclobacillaceae
Source: Rfam
UCCAUCGUGAGGUGGAAUCUGAAGGAAGCCGGAGGCAAAGCCCCGACCUGAGGACCACGAACCCAAGGUGAGGCUGCUGCAUUCGGGCGAGUCUGCUAAACAAGACAAAGCCCCAUACAGCCAAGGGAUGCAGCAGUAAAUUGGGCAGGUACAUGGGGUGAAAGCGACCGUU